GGGUACGUAGCUUUCACUCCCAACCCCUGUGACAUACCUUACUGUUGCCUCGGCGGAUCAGCCCGCUCCCGGUAAAACGGGACGGCCCGCCAGAGGACCCCUAAACUCUGUUUCUAUAUGUAACUUCUGAGUAAAACCAUAAAUAAAUCAAAACUUUCAACAACGGAUCUCUUGGUUCUGGCAUCGAUGAAGAACGCAGCAAAAUGCGAUAAGUAAUGUGAAUUGCAGAAUUCAGUGAAUCAUCGAAUCUUUGAACGCACAUUGCGCCCGCCAGUAUUCUGGCGGGCAUGCCUGUUCGAGCGUCAUUUCAACCCUCAAGCCCUCGGGUUUGGUGUUGGGGAUCGGCGAGCCUUUCUGGCAAGCCGGCCCCGAAAUCUAGUGGCGGUCUCGCUGCAGCCUCCAUUGCGUAGUAGUAAAACCCUCGCAACUGGAACGCGGCGCGGCCAAGCCGUUAAACCCCCAACUUCUGAAUGUUGACCUCGGAUCAGGUAGGAAUACCCGCUGAACUUAAGCAUAUCAUAGUGGGGAGGAAUU
Molecule: ribosomal RNA, 534 nt
Filed under: Fusarium redolens
Lineage: Eukaryota; Fungi; Ascomycota; Sordariomycetes; Hypocreales; Nectriaceae
Description: eukaryotic LSU rRNA
Rfam family: 5.8S ribosomal RNA (bases 152-305)
Source: RNAcentral